Molecule: non-coding RNA, 136 nt
Organism: Ustulina deusta
Lineage: Eukaryota; Fungi; Ascomycota; Sordariomycetes; Xylariales; Xylariaceae
Source: the annotation of a GenBank genome assembly
GCCCGGUUAGCUCAAUCGGUAGAGCGUGAGACUCUUAAUCUCAAGGUUGCGGGUGAGUGCAAAGAUUUAAGAAAAAAUGUUUCUAGAACGAAAUGAUUUUAACCUCUUACCAUAGGUUCGACCCCCGCAUCGGGCU